RNAcentral lists this ribosomal RNA (465 nucleotides) under uncultured bacterium. RNAcentral describes it as "bacterial SSU rRNA". It matches the Rfam family "Bacterial small subunit ribosomal RNA", at positions 338 to 795 of the family's 1533-position model. The record is from RNAcentral.
CCUACGGGUGGCUGCAGUAGGGAAUCUUCCGCAAUGGACGAAAGUCUGACGGAGCAACGCCGCGUGAGCGAAGAAGGUCUUCGGAUCGUAAAGCUCUGUUGUUAGGGAAGAACAAGUACGGGAGGAAAUGACCGUACCUUGACGGUACCUGACGAGGGAGCCACGGCUAACUACGUGCCAGCAGCCGCGGUAAUACGUAGGUGGCAAGCGUUGUCCGGAAUUAUUGGGCGUAAAGCGCGAGCAGGCGGUCUUUUAAGUCUGAUGUGAAAUCCUGCGGCUCAACCGCAAGCGGUCAUUGGAAACUGGGAGACGUUAGUGGAGAAGAGGAAAGCGGGAUUAUACGGGUAGCGGUGAAUUGCGUAGACAUGUGGAGGAACACCAGUGGCGAAGGCGGCUUUCUGGUCUGUAACUGACGCUGAGGCGCGAAAGCGUGGGGAGCAAACAGGAUUAGAUACCCUAGUAGUC